This 253-nucleotide ribosomal RNA is filed under the name uncultured bacterium. RNAcentral's name for it is "partial 16S ribosomal RNA". It matches the Rfam family "Bacterial small subunit ribosomal RNA", at positions 524 to 776 of the family's 1533-position model. The record is from RNAcentral.
UACGUAGGGGGCAAGCGUUGUCCGGAUUUAUUGGGCGUAAAGAGCGUGUAGGCGGCCAAGCAGGUCCGCUGUGAAAACUCGAGGCUCAACCUCGAGACGUCGGUGGAAACCGUUUGGCUAGAGUCCGGAAGAGGAGAGUGGAAUUCCCGGUGUAGCGGUGAAAUGCGCAGAUAUCGGGAAGAACACCCGUGGCGAAAGCGGCGCGCUGGAUCCCUACUGACGCUGAGGCACGAAAGCCAGGGGAGCAAACGGG